This 492-nucleotide ribosomal RNA is filed under the name uncultured bacterium. RNAcentral's name for it is "partial 16S ribosomal RNA". The stretch from base 54 to 492 matches the Rfam family "Bacterial small subunit ribosomal RNA", at positions 38 to 507 of the family's 1533-position model. The record is from RNAcentral.
GGGGGGGGGGGGGGGGGGGGGGGGGGGGGGGGGGGGGGGGGGGGGGGGGGGGGGGGGGGGGGCGUAGGGGUGGCGGGGGGCGGACGGGUGAGGAAGACAGCGGGGUGUACGUUGGCGGGGGGGGGAACGGAGGGAGACUUACGCUAAUACCGCAUGCGACCUACGGGUGAAAGCAGGGGCGCGGAGGACCUUGCGCGGUUGAAUGAGCCGGUGGCGGAUUAGCUAGUUGGCGGGGUAAAGGCCCACCAAGGCGACGAACCGUAGCUGGUCUGAGAGGAUGAUCAGCCCCAGUGGAACUGAGACACGGUCCAGACUCCUACGGGAGGCAGCAGUGGGGAAUAUUGGACAAUGGGCGCAAGCCUGAUCCAGCCAUACCGCGUGGGUGAAGAAGGCCUUCGGGUUGUAAAGCCCUUUUGUUGGGAAAGAAAAGCAGCAGGUUAAUACCCCGCUGUUCUGACGGUACCCAAAGAAUAAGCACCGGCUAACUUCGUG